This 38351-nucleotide long non-coding RNA is filed under the name Setaria viridis. RNAcentral describes it as "long non-coding RNA (SVIR_LNC001410)". Lineage: Eukaryota; Viridiplantae; Streptophyta; Magnoliopsida; Poales; Poaceae. The record is from RNAcentral.
UUUUUUUUUUGCUUCUAUGGUGUGCGUCAGCAGGAGAUUGACAUCGAAGAUGAUUCUUUUUGGCAUAUAGUUUAUAUUCUCAUUUUUUCUUUUAUGUAUGUAUGAGAGCGAUGACACCUUCACCUUCCACCGUAAACUCAAUUAACCAUGGGUGUGUUUACAGUGUAAUUUUGCUGCUUGAUUUAUUUAAAUGGCCAAAUUAUUCAGUUGCUGGCGGUUAACUUGAUCAACGGAUUGUUGUUUAAUAAUUGGCAGGAUCCACAGUCUUGUUUUAGAAUUGGAGAUCGUCGAGUGCAGCAAAAUAAUUCACGAAGGCCAAACAAGUAUAUUUGUGCAGAGCUUUGCAUGGUUGAAUGCCCUGAUCAUGGAAGGAGAGAUUACGCAUGCAUAAAGGGUUGUAAAUGAAGCAACUCAUAUGAAGAUUUCCAUUAUGGUGUGAUUAGGAUGUGGCCGAAAUUUUUUAUUGUUGCAUUGUAAACCAACGUGUACAAGAUUAUGGUCUAGUGCGGUCACGUUGUAGAUUUAACAGGAUAGAACAUUGUAUAUAUGGUAACCGAAUUAAACUGGUCAAGUCUUAUUCAGUAUAAGCCAGAGUCUUGUCCAUAUACGUGAAGUGCCUUAUAAAUACUAGAGUCUGGGGCGCACCUCCGGCGCGCCAAUUUUCUGACCAAAUUUUCAUUAAAAGGAUUGAUGUUCAUGUAUUAGCGUCAAGAGCGUGAUAUGUCUUAAAAAAAUAAAAUUAGUGGUACUAAUCAGGCAGCUGCAUGCGCUAAUGUUUAGGUCUUUAUGUUUUGAUGUGAUGGGAGAAAUUAUGAUUUUAAUAAUGAUGAUUAAUGUCUGCAUCCGAUAGUAUAAGCAUUAACUUUGAAGGAGUUGCGUAAUUAAUUCUAUAUAUUCAUCAGUGCGGAGGUAAGAGAUUGGAAUUGGAGUCGAGCAGGAUAAUUGUAUAGUAAUCACAAUCACGUUGCCUUUGCUCAUAUGGAAAAGUAAACCAGCUACUGAAAUAAGUGAUAUAGUAACAUAGUACAUAAUUACAUAGUAGUGGUAGAGGACGAGUAUUAAAAUAAAUAAACACAUCUAACAGCAAUGCUUGUUGACUAAGUGGACAAACUGGUCAGUAAACAUCUCAAGAGUAGAUUGUGGAGGAGUAUUUCCUGUGUAUGUAAGUGUGACGGUGUUCGAAGUAGUAGUAUUGCCUGUAUUUGGAGAAAUUGCAAGAGGAAGUACGUUGCUAUAGUCGGCGGAUAGCUCUGUGAUCUUAGCGAUGAAGUUGUGAUGUUGAUUUUCUAUCUUUUUCAAGCGUUUCAUUUGAGCGACACAUGCGUCCUCAAAAAUCCAUGCUCAAGACAUAGCUGAUUCCUUCACUUUCUGUGUCUUCAAUAGGUUGGCAUGGUUGUGAUAGACCAAAGUCAAUUUCCCUUCGCUUGUGAUACUGUGAAUGGCAUCAUCAUAGGUUGAUUCUAUUGCUCCGCCUACGGUAUAUACGAAAUCGCUGUAGUAAGUUGCUUUCUUAUUAUGCGGAGGAGGUGUUCGCUGCGUUGGCAUAAUAGUAAUGGAGGCAGUGAAGAUAGAAUUACUCAUUUUUCUCACAUCUGUUCUAGAUACAUAAAGAUGUAGGUCUUGCGCAAUUUGAUCGAAAAAUAGCUUCUUUGGUAUCUAAACAGACAACAUAGUUUUGUGACAUUUAAAGUAGUUCCUUAGCUUUCAUGUUGGAGUGGUAGGGAUUUGAUGCGUUGUACAAAGGAAGAAAUGAUUUGAACAAUGGAAAAUUCAUAACUACGCUUUUGGUUGUGAUAACGCCUUCGUGUUUACUUCAUUCUUAAAGUGGUUACCAUGUGGAAAGGUCGUAGCUUGAAGAGAUGAAAGUGCUUUGCAUCUUGGAUAGCUAUUUAUAUAAGAUAGUCCUAGUUAAAAACACCUGUAGGCAAAGGUGAACAUGUAUGAAAUGUCGUGGCAGCUAAUCUUCUUGUCAUGUAUUCAUCGUGUCAUGCAAGUGCUGCGCAUGGAAGUUGUGUUUAUCUGUGUGUCUAUGACUUGUAUAUGUGUGAUAUCCUUCAAUCGACAAUGUGGUUUCCACGUAUUGGGCUAGGACUGGCCCAUUAGUUUCAAAAAUCCCAGCAGUUGGUGUAGCAAAGAAACAUGAGGUCACCAGUAGCUUCCACCGUGGGCUCCUGACUUCCUGCGUCUGCUUUCGUGUGUUUGGCUACUCACUCCGUGCAGAAUCGAACAUUGAUGGCGCUCAACAUCCUCAAAACCUAGGUCUAGAAGGGGAGCAUCGAUUCGAACAGCGCCUGAGGGGCAGGUGCGCAGCGGCGGUCAAUAAGAGAGAGGAAGUUGGUUGGUAUAUAAUAGAUAGUUAAGAGCUAUCGAAUGAUGCUUGCUGGAUUUGAUUCGACUAACUAAUCCAAAUUUUGUUUCAAAUAGAUCGGAGUAAGGAAGAUAGGGAGGAAAGGUACGUUGGUCUCUUUCGAUUCUCGCAGUAAAGUGAAUCAUUCAAUGGCACUGUGGUAGGAUUAUCGCUGGAACCCAAGUGAUUCACAGGUUAGUUCAUUAGUAUUUAGUCUCUGCAUACAAAGAUGGGAAGAGAUCUAUAUAGUUUUGCUUACUCUAUACAAACAGACAUGAAUAUUCACUGUAAAGAAAUGAAAAAACAGUUGACUAAGUAGGAAACACCAUUAUUUGAACUGAAGGGGUCAUAGGUAUAUGAAGUUCUCCCAUAGAUUAGGUGUAUAAAUAAUUGAGGAUUGUAAAUCAUGACCACACUUUUUGUGAGACUUAACGUGGUUAUAGUAGGUUGAUGUUGUCAAUAAAUUGUUGAUGUCAAAUAACAAUGCAUUCACUAUUAUGUUACUAAGUUAAAUUGAAGACAUGAUCUGAGUUGUGUCAGUAGCAUUGCAGUGUGCAGCAUAGCCGUGGUAAAGUAUAGAUCCUACAAUUAUGUACACAAUGUUAGUGUUUGUACCUGAUACUUUAUACAACUAUAUUUGUUCAUUACAACUCUAGUUUGUUCAUGCUCAAAUUGAUUAGAUUACGACUAUAAUUCAUCUUUUUUAUAUUGACCCGUGUAGAAUGGCAACAGAAGAAUUGUGCCCUAUGAAUGAUAUUGGAAAGAUAUUCCAGUGGUACGAUGAUAGGUACGGAAAGAUUAGUACCAAUAUUACUUGAAAGGUACAAUACUAUUGGUUAAUUAUCAUUAAUUGAUAAUACACUAAUAUCUAAUUUUCCGGAACUUGGGUUUUUAUAUUUCAGGAAACAAUUAAGAUUAAUGGAGAGUUAGUAGUGCGAGAGUUAGGCCGCCUGCUAAACAGCACACAACUAUGUUUUAGCCAUACUUGCAUAGAGAGCAAUAAUUGGCAAAUAAGUCUUUCUUUUCAGUUUCCAAGAAAUGGCAACAUGUUCGAGAAUAUGAUAGAUGUGUUUAUCUGCAGUGAUUUACAUGAUAAUAUUGAGGAUGCGAAAGCAUCUUUGUAUAACAAAGUAGUGGAGCAUUUGGUGCAAAUUCACAGAAUUGGUAUUGCCGAUUAUAGCAGUAGAGAAAGAGACACCAUCUAUGCAGAAUGGGAAUCAAUGCACGAGAAGAUGUGUCAAUGAUUCUAUAUUAACUCUGAUAUUCUAUUUGGUUGGGAAGCUGGAUUGAUUGAAGCAGAAAGACUGUAUCAGGUAUAUGGUUAUAGUUUGAUCGAUUCUGAUCUCAGUGGUAUUGAAAAUACACCAACGAAGGUACGAACUUGGUUUAUAAAUGUACUCAGAGAUAGAGUAUUGAUAUUUAAAGAUGAUGUAGUUGAAAGCAAAGCCAGGCUAAAGAGUUUGAACGAGCAGAGAGACAUCUAUGUAAGCACGGUUAAUGUCAAUAUGCGUGAAGCUAUAAAGGUAUGAGUUGUGACCACAAUCAUUUCUUGCAUGUUCUUCUUAAAAUGAUUGUAGCAUGAUCAAUCUAAAGAUAGAUUUUAUCAUUGUACUUAUUGUUGCUAAUAUAUGUACAAGUGGAGGAGGAUUGUUUCUGUUUCAAAUAAAUUCAUCUUCGAUAAUAUAAUUGAUAGAUCUCAAAAUGAAAAGGCAGAUGUGGAGAUAAUACAAAUGGGAAAUCAUGCGUUUGCUGGUGAGAUGGUACUGCAUGUAGUAGAACAUGACAACAGCAAAGAAGAUGUUCUAUGCAAGAGAAUGUUGGAAACUUAAACGAACCGGAUUUCUGUAAGGAGAAAUCUGACUCCCUGUAUCCUCGUGAUAAUCCCUGGAUCAGUAACUAUCACAUACAGAACUCAUUUCAGCAUAAAUAUCACAUCCAUACCAAUAACAGUACAAUUAAAUUUAUUACAUCCUAGAAUGUGAGAGUACGAUCUGGUACAUGCCCCUUGGGCUUAACGACAUGAAUAAAACCAACGCAACAGUAGCUAGCUUCUGGAAGCAUUCCUAUCUUCACAAUCAACUCCACAGACAUUCUUGAUCGUAGCACUGCAACCCUCAUCGUACCAACUGUCGUGGUUGAUGUCGAAGUCGGACUCAUAACCUGCAAACUCACGAGCUGUCCCCAAGGAUUGGGACAGGUUCACGUCACCAUCCGUAUGCAAGCUUUAAGUGGCCUAGUGCUUGUGAUCAAAAAUAUAUUCAAGGAAUAGGCUCGGGUUUCCUAUGCAGCAAGCAUAAAGAAUAAAACUCCAUAUCCAUCAUCCCAAUCUCUCAACACAUCGGGUACACCCGUCUUGACAGGUUCCCUAUCACCAUCAUCCUAUCUCCAUACUAGGGUCAAGGCAAAGACUCCCUCUUUUUGCCUCUCAACAACUGUAGCCGGAUCCUAAAGGGAAAGGGAGCAACUUCCCCUCUUCCCGACUGCAAUUGCGGCUCACAACACACAAGUAGCUAUAAGGGGGAGGUAGAGAUUUCCCAAAAAUAAUGGAGAGUCAUCGCGACACAGGGUUGUCCAUGACUGAGGACACAGCUAUACUUAUAGUUUUAACUCUGCAGAAUGUGUACACCUGGACCCAUCUUGGAGUGAGACAACCGGGGAUCAGCCGACUAAACAUCACCCUACCGGGCGAAGAACCUGGGAGUUACGAUACCAUCCUACAUCCAGGCUCGGAUGCGAUCCCCCACAGAGGACCACUCCAGAACUAUGAAGCACUCCCACCGGGGCCAAUCGGGGGCAAAAGGUCAGCACCACUCCCCCCUACACUGAUACUCUAUCUUACGGCAGGUAUGGUACCGCACUUGCUAGUCUCAACCCGGGCCUAGACCCAUAAUUCAACGAGUGGCGUGCACGUUUAACAUAUUCCCGUGAAGCAUGGCGACCCACUUGGUUUCAGACCGGGGCGAGCUCCUAACUCCCAAAAGUGUCUCCACAACGUAGUCCGCAACGGCACCCAUAACAGGUAUCACCACCAACUCCUAUGCUCCUCAACUUUAUACUCACAACAAGUACCAAACAGGGAACAUCCGAGAACGGACCCCAAGCCCCCAAUCCAUAGAUUGGGUUGUGUAAAGCUCACCCCCGUCAAGUAUCCCAAAAUCACCUUCUCCUGCCGGUUUUAACCCCACACACGCCAAGAAUCCUAAUCACAAUAUCCCAUACACAUGCAAGCAUCGCACACCAUGCAUAUAAGUAGCAUAGUAGUAGGUCAAACAAGGAUAUAAGGCAUAAAGAAGGCUAUGCAAGCUUUAUCAUCAUCAUGCGAGGAAUAAAGCGCUAGCAUACUAAUUUAGCAAUGCCUAAUGGGUAUUCAAAUAGAAUGGGCAUGAACCUGAGUAGUCUUCCUCCUCAUAGUAGUCCUCAAAUGGCUCUAGCUCUGGGUUCAGCUCCGAGUCUCCGGCAACUCCUAAUUACACAAUUACUAUAAUUACCGGAUGUCUAGUUGCAAAGUAAAUCCAAAAGAGAUCCAAAGAAGAACCAAACAAGAUCAAAGCGUAGUCUAACACGUGUUUCAAUAUUUUACAGAAAUUAUGAAACUGGUUUCAUAAUUUUUGGAAUUAGAAUGACUUAGUUAUGACUCUUUGAAGUUGAAAACAUUUUCUGAAGUUUUUGUAUGAUAGGCAAAAACAAGAAAUCAACGGGGUUAGCUGUUAACUGGUUGUAGGUCAGCUGCAGUCCAGAUGCAAGCUGCCACAAAAGUUCGCAGGUAGCUUUGGAGGGUUUUUAGGCCGGUGGCUAAGCUGUCGUGAGGUGUUUCUAGUUUCUGGGGUAAAAACCGGAAGUUUCAACUUUGGAAAACCGGAAGUUCUGAUUUGGGGUAACUGGAUGUUCCGAUUUUUAGCUCACUCAAGGAGGUCUCCCGGGAAGAACUCUAGAUGCUCUGGAUAGAUCAAAACUGAAUGUUCUCGUUUGGGAACUGGAAGUUCCGGUUUUCUACGAGUAGAUCUCUCCCCUUGGGGAGAUCUCCUGGGAAAGACCUUGGGAUAGUCCUGGGAAGUUAGGGUUCACCAUUCAUGGGUUUGGGGUUCGUUUGGCUGAGACUUUCUAAGGUUUUUGGAGCUACUGCAGGCUGAACAGAGCAGAACUGGAAGUUCCAAUUUUGCCAAGGGUUCGGCCGUGAUGGGCUUUGCGCGCGUGGGAGCGCGCGGCUCAGGCCUCAGCUGCGAUGAAGGUUCAUGCAGGCAAGCGGAAAUCGUGGUGCUCACCUGGUGGGCUUGCUAGUGAGGGAAAGAUGGCGCGUGGUGAGGUGAAGCAGUGAUGGCGGCGCGGGCUUGGCGGCUCUCCGGUGGGGCAACAGCGGUCUCCUCCUCCUCCGACGUCUUCUCCCCGUCUCCUGUGCCCCCCCUCCUUCCUCCUCCUUUUCUCCAAACGGCGACGGGUGAAGGAGAAAACCUCAAUUGUGGAUGAGGCCAGGUGUAGAUGGUGUGGGGGUUCAAAAAGGUGGUGGCUAGGGUUUUGGGCGGUUUGGACGGUAGGGGAUUGUGUCUAGAUGGCGUGGUAAGCAUCCACGGGCGCCAGCGCAAAAGUGGCAAGGGCGGCCGGCAUCGUGCAUGGCGUGCACGUCGCUGUCGUGCUCGUGCCACGCGCGUGCACACCGUGGGGAGGAAAGGGGAAUAGUGGUACGGGUGGCUAACAUGUGGGGUCGAGCAGUCAGCGACUGCAGCGCGGAGGCGGUCUGGGCAGAAAACCGGAGGUUCCAGUUUUGGAAAAUUAGAAGUUCCGGUUUUUGCACCGGCCUUAGGUUGGGUUGUUAAUUAGGUGGGCUGGUGGGGUUAGCUGGGUUGGUUUGGGCCUCGGUUAGAUUUAGUUAGCUUUUCUAGUUUGAUUUAUAUUUGAAUUCCAAUUCAAAUACAAAUCCCACCCAAAAAAUCCAAAUAAAUUCCAAAUGAACUCCAAAUAUUCACACUAGCACAUAAUGCACCUUAGCGAUUCAAUUUAGUUUACAAUAUAAUUCUAAGAAUUUUGGGAAAGGUUCAAUGACGACAAUCUUAUAGUUUGGAAAAAUUCACACCACAUCACAAAAUUUUUGAAAUCCACAUUUUUGCAAAUUCAAACAUGUCGUAAAAAUACGAGAUGUUACAGAAACUGAAAAGAAAUACGACUUUGCAAGUGCAGAAGAAGAUGUGUAUAAAGAAGGCAUUGCAUCCAUUGAAAAUGUGAGGAAUGGUGUUUAUUUUUGACAUAAUUAUCGAUCAAUGGCUAUUGCUAUGGAGGACAAAAUAAAUGGAAACAAAUUGAAAAACAAAAUGGUGGAAUUUGGGUCCAAGAUGAGUUCGAAGUGGAACUCCAUGGUUGCAGCAAUACAAUACAUCCAUACAGUUUGGAGUGAAGCUCAUAAUGAAGUGGCCCAAUCUCGAAACAUCAUAGAUAAACAUGAAAUGACAUCAGAAAUAGUUAACAAUGUUGCUAAUCUACUCACAAGGAGCUCAUAUGGAUUAGAACCUAAUAUGCGUAGAUUUGAAGCAGCAUCUAUUUGAGUAGCUUGUAAGAGUGAAUCUGUAUGUAUAAAACAUUGUAGGCGUACUUGGUGUAAGUUAAGUUUUGCAAUUGUACGCUCAUCCAAGCAUCAUUCAUUUUGUUGUGGUAAAGAAUUAGUUGUACUGAAUUAUAUUUGCAAGAUAUAUAUUUACUUAUAAGUUAUAGUGCAUUAUAUACUAACAAUAAUCAACUGUUCGCCUCAUGACGUGAUGUCUGGAAUGACACCAAUCUACAAAUUUAUGCAUGUAUCACCUCUUUGCGAUGAAACCUUCACAAAUUUGAUGUACGUCAGUAUGUGAAGUAACCGAAAGAAAAUAGAGGAUAGCUGAAGUCGUAAAACAAGGCCACCUGGUGAUACAUGGCUUUAUUUGAUCAGCUGGUAAGCUGCGUCAUGUCAAGGUGCUCUUAAGAGUGAAUGUAGAUAUAACUAGGACCCUCUUCUUUACUUUCAGAAUAAGGUAGCCCUGGUUCUCCAGUUUGGCUAACUCUACUGUUUACUAGGUUUGGCAUCACGAACAAGACUGACUGCUCGGAGCCUCGGAACAACAUAUCUAAAAGUUACUCGAUGGCGCUUGUAUCUUCCAUGAUUAGUUCCAAGAUGUAUGUAAGUAUCUAAUGAGUAUGAGUACUACAAUUUGCAGUAAAUAUGUUUUAGUACUUUCUCUACGCAGUUUCAGCACGGUGCAAGUGUUUCAUUUUGCAUAUAGUAUUUACGAAUGAGGUGAUGAAGUUUUUUCUUUAUACUGAUCAUUGCAGAUCAACGCAAGUAAAGUGGUAGUCAUUCGUCCUCGUGUCAUUUUAUGCAAAGCAGUCAACGGAUUGAACGGAUUUGACCCUGUAUUUACAAACACGUCUACAUGCCUAGAUAAAUUCAAGUACUCCAUUUCAUUUGAUCUUCCAACCUCUGCAGAAACAAAUUAACUGGUGGCAAUCUAUUCUUUAAUAGACACGAUGUUGAAGAUAGCGCUGUUCAAAAUGUUUUUAUGAAAUUGUAUGAAGAAUAUGGAUAUAUAGUAGAGGACUAUAGUUCUAUCCAAGGCAACAUAUGUAGGCUGAGAUACCAUGAUUUCAUUCAUAAGGUAAAUGAAAGCAAGGCUAGAUAUCAGGAAAUCAAGGAUAACUAUUUGAAUGUAAUGGGACAACUUAGAAUAGUGUCCGAUAUGUUCGGCACUGUAGCAUGCAGUUUGGAUCAAUCCAAAGUAAAUCAAAAAUAUAGAGAUGCACUCAUAUCUUGUUCUAAAGAGUUUCAAAGAAUCCGUCAUGCUGGUCUGAAGCAUAUGGAUGGAUUCAACACGCGUGUGUUCCUGAAUUGCGAUGCAGAAAAUUCAUCAUUUUCAACUCGUGAUGUAGAAAAUUCAUCAUCCAACGCAAUUAGUGGUGUCAAACAGGUAUCCAUUAUACUGGGUAUUCCUUUUAUAAUUACGAAUGGUGUGGUAAUAUAAUAGGAAGUUGUUUUACAAUGUACCAUUUGAUUAUUAGUGUAAUGCAAGUAUUCUUCGAUAAAGGUUCACAGAACUGAGGUUAAACAUGCUCUUGGGUGAAGUUGUGAAAGUAAUGGGAUUUGAUAAGCCUAACAUCACAGUAGAUGGGAGCCAACAAUCAUAUAACUACGUGGCAACCGUGAUCAUAAAAAAAAGGUGCAAAUGAAGCAGUGGUGAAAGGAAUUGGGGUAAAUACUUUAUGCAGAGAUUCCCAAUACAAUGCUACCUACAAUGCAUUACUUGUAUUAGAAACGGAAUUCCAUGUGGUCAUAAAGGACGUGAACUAUAGCUAUUAUUUGAUGAUGUUUGGUCGUGUGAAGGAUAUGGAAAAUAUCUUGACCUUAAUUGCUAUUAUCUGCAACGAUGUUGAUGGGGAUCUUUGUCAGAUAGGUUCUCUAGUUAGCAUGAAUGAAUGUAGUAAUAACAUGCUUGUUAAUCAUAGUGAAUUUGGUAGUAUCUGUACUCAGUGGUUUUAGACAGUGAAAACAGCAUUGGAGAGAAAUCAGGAAAUCAUGAGAGCAAAGGUUGCUCUAGUCAUGGAAAAUGCUCGUAUUGGAACUAUCCGGUUUUGACAAGUGACGGUAUCUGAUGAAAGCAGCAUUCUUUACAAUCAUACAUGGUUUGAAAUUAUAUACAUAGUUUGGAUACUGUAAUAAAUCCGAGUAUACUUAAGCCCAAUCGUGUAAUAAAAAUGUGGGCAUCAUGUGUUGUUCGAUUUUGUUUUACAUUGUUUCAUGUUGAUUAAUUCUGUGUGGUAUAUGAAUUAAUUAGUUGUUAUGAUUCGUCAAUUGUUAAUAUGUGUUGUACCACUAUGUAGGCCAUAGGAGUGAAUGAAUGUUAUUUAUCCAUUUACUUUACAAAGAUGCUACAUAUAUUACAAAACCAUAAAUUAAGAUGCGAAUGCAAUAAUAAAAUUCAGGGUCGCAAUCUCAUUAGCUGUAGCAUAGAAGAUCUAAUUUUCUCUGAGCUUAGGUAGCUGACGGGCCACAUAAUUAUUGUGCCUGUUUUAGACACUAUCUAGUUGAAUACUAAAGUGAUUUAGAUUUGGAUCCAGCAAAAUCGCAAUUCUGUACCCAAUAAGAUACAAUGCCACGUUCCUCAACGGUGCAAAACUACCUGUGAAUAGAAAUCGUCUUUUCCUUCGGCCUAAUUGAGGUGGUACUUAGUUUUACGGGCCAAGAAGCUAUCCAAUCCAAGAGACAUAUACUCGUAACAAAUUUCAAAAUUAUAUAAUUGUUUACACUUAAGUAAAUACGCAUGGAAUCUAAGUAUCCCUUCUUGUACAUAUUUUUAUUAAACAUUAUUAAUCUCUUUGUUUCUAUGUACUGCAUUCCUUUUUUAUGAAAAUACUGAAAUAUCCUACUUAAGCGGGGAUUGUACAAGAUGGCUUCACAAUCAUACGAGUAAAUGAAUAAUUUUUUUAUAUAUCACGACAUUACUCUUAACGCCAGGUCUAAUUUACUGCAGUAAAACUUGGCUGAUUCACCUGUUAUUUACCGCAUGUCGUAAUACGAGUGAAACACCAUCCUAAGGUGACACGCAAUGCGUGGUGACAUACGUGUCAUUUUUUUAGAAUCGAAUUAGAUGUGCAUGGCUAGACGCAUGUCGUCCUAUACUGUGAACAAAUAAAUAUAUAGCGUUCCCGAUCCAGCACCGCUAAAAGAAAUUGCAUGCAAGGGAAAAGAUAAACUUGGUAGAAAAUGGAGAGUUCAAGGAAAGCAGAGUUGAAGUUGCUUUUGCUUAGUGUCCAGCAUGAUGCCUCCACCGCACCAGGUAUCAACGCUCCUCGUGUCUCAUUGUCAAUUACGAAUCACGUGUUGUGCAUAUUUUUACUGAAAAAUGUACUAUGCAUGCCAAAAAUAUUUUCCAAUUCUUUAGUUAGUAGUAGGAAAAAAAUCAGAAUCCAUUAUUGCUUUAGAUUCAUGUGCAGGUAGUUGCGUCUUUUUUGGUUGACUAUUUAAUUCGAUUGUCAAUGUUGAUUGAGUUAUCUAUGAUUGAAUUGAUGAGCGGUUGAUUAUUUAAUUCCAUUAUCAACACUGAUUGAGUUAUCUAUGCUUGAAUAGGUGACUGCAAACGGUGGAACACGUAUCUACUGCUUUUUUUUUACGUGAAUCUAUAUAAAUGAGGUUUAAAUAGAUGUUCCAUGUCAUGUAGGCUACUCGAGUUGUAAAGAUUAGUCAUUAACUUUUACUUCGUGAGCUUUGCAAGGAGCUGAAACUGGAUGCUCCAAGUUUUGGAACUGAGUCCUCUAGUGGUACCAGUGUUGUUGGUAGGGUUUAGAUUACGUAUCACAGGUCUGAUGAAGAAACCGUAUUAUGGCGCUACAAAGUUACUGGCUCGGUAGAACCGGAUGCAUCUGCUGCUCUAGAAGUUGUUGCUACAAAAGCAAUUGAAUUUUUAAAGAGUAGAAUUAGCAACGACGUAGAAGAUUUUAACUAUCCAAGAUUCUAGUCUCUGCUUUUUACCCAUGUGUGCCUAAAGGAAAAUGGUGCCUACAGGUACAUCCCAUCACCCCCGCUUUUUUUCGGAAACCAUGCGCACGAUCCCGUUCUAACCGCAGGGAACGCCGCGCCUCCUCACCCCACGCGCCCGGCAUUAUCUGUCGCUUUGCCUCCCGGAGGUCAUGCGCACAAACGUCUCCCACAAGUGGCCCAAGGCGCGCUUCAGGUAAAAAGGGAUACAGAGCUGAAAACGCUCUUACGGCCCAUUACGGUCCAGGGGUUCGAAGGCUAGCCCUCCCAAGGGUUCGACAGCUGCCCCAGGACAGUUCCCGAGCAAGGGGUGAGACAGGACAGGUCCGCUAGUGGCCUCUACCCUGGCGAACGAAAGCCAAGGGCAUCCUGACCUCACGUUCGAGUCCCGACUGGCGAUUAAGUUCAUGGUUUUUCCCCGAAGAAAGGCAACGAGCCCUCGGAUCCGGUCGAACGGAUCCGGGAACUAUAUGAAUUGGCCGUCCAGAACCAGGAAUACGCCACCAGCUUGGCCCAAGCCGGACCCUCCCCCCCUAACGGGGACCGGAACUCCACUCGAACUGAUCCGUUAGCAGCUCACCGAGCACCAUGGUUCGUCCGACGAGGAUAACAUGGCACGGCUCAACCCCUCCGUCCAACCGAACGGAUGCUUGAGGGGCAACGAUUAAAAGAUGAUCCGACCUCUCGGUCGGUCUCCUGCAGCGCACGGGGGCUCAAGGGCUGGAAUCGCAAAGAAACGGCCACGCGUGUGGUCAUGUUCAGUCAUCAGGCAGGAGUGAUAAGCGGGACAAUGGGAAUCUUCCCAAAACUGCACCAUCCUCAGAGCACCCUGCCUGCCCGAAACUCCCCGAUCAGGCCAACGGCGAAACGUUUUCCCUGACCAAACCCAGCUACGGGUUAGACAAAGACUCCAGACAAACACUCUGCCCAGAGCCAAUCAUAGCCUCUGGAGGAGCACCUCACUCCACCAGAGGCUCGGGGGCUACUAUCGGGGAGAAAUAUUAAUGACCUCCUUAUGCUCCCUAAUCAACGAUCGUAAGGGCCAGGGCCCACCCCCAGCAUCCGUAAUCUCCACCGACCAAACACACCCUGGAGGUACCUCGCUCCGCCUCGCCCGACCCCGAACGCAAGGGGUCGGAUGCGCCCGACCCCUCGAAGCAAGACUCCGCCUCACCCAACCCAAGGCGCAAGGGGUUGGAUGCGCCUGACCCCUCGAAACAAGAUUCCGCCUUGCCCGACCCCGGGUGCAAGGGGUUGGACGCACCCGAUCCCUCGAAGCAAGACUCCACCUCGCCCGACCCCAGCGCAAGGGAACGGAUGCACCCGAUCCCUCGAAGCAAGAAUCCACCUCGCCCGAAGGCAUGUGCAGGCCAUCAAACGGAGGCACAGGUCUUGUGGGUCCCCCGGAUCUCACCAAAACAUAAUCGAUGGGACGCGCACGCUCUAGGAUACGAUUCUGACACAUGGAGAGGUGCCCGCAUUCUUCGACAUGACCUGUCGGAAUGAUGGGCUGCACACUGCUGCCACGAUAGCAUAGGACUACAACUGCACCGCCUUAUCCCUCUGCGACGCCUGUCAUAGGGCACUCAUCGCCCAUACUGUCUAAACGAAGGAGGGCAAACCGCCUGGUUUCCUGCGCAGCCUCGCAAGAAGUGCACAUCAACCGCACCGCCCUGUCAGAACACAUGACUAUAGUGGCCGGCCGCUUCCUGCCACUUACACGGCUAUAGUGGCCGGUCGUCACCACCAACUUGCGCGGCUAUAGUGGUCAGCCACCAUAUGUGACUCGCGUGCUCGGCUACAGUAGCCAACCGCCAAAUCAUCGAUGGGACCCAACAGCAACCGCCCUUUCCUAGUAGCAGUACCGACAAGACGCAGAGACAAGAAAGGAAGACGGCUUCUCCGGUAGCUCCUCCCGCUUUCUUGUUUUACCUUUUUACCUUUCUUACUCCCGGCUCAUUUUGUAACCCCUGUGUCCUCCUUACACUAUAAAAGGGGACCAGGGGCCCGAGGGAAAAGGAGAGGCCCGAACAACAGAACAACACCGAACGCACACAACAGCUCUCGUAGAAUCCUAGUGCUCAAGACACUUUGAGCAUUGGCAACACCCACAGAGACCUAGGAACCAGCUUCCCUCUCUCACCCGUUUGUAGACCCUACUGCAAACUUGGUACGAGUAACACGAGCAGCCACCCACACUGGAUAUAGGGCUAUUCCUGCUUGAACCAGUCUAAUCCACGUGUCCUCCCGUACAACCAUCCGAGCCUAACGCGUAGAGAAAACAAAUUUACUAAGCUGGUAGUCUCGACCCGUGAUUCUUGACACCAACAGCAGUAGCUAGAACCUGUAAAAGUAGUGCUUGACUUCAUGUAGUGGAGUCAGAACGCUGUUAUAUUACGUAGUGUGUGUGAAUCAAAUGUGGAUCGCUUAGUAAAAAGUACUUGCAAUAUAUAAAGCAUGCAAAUCACUAUCUAAGUUCGAUCAUUUGCAAAACAGUGUAAAAUAGAGUAGUAGAGCAACGCUGGAGCACUGUAAGAAGCAGUUUGUAAUUUUAAUACCUUUUCUAUUAUAUAUAUGUAUAUAAGUAACAUUAUCUAGCAUUUUUUUAAAUAGCGAUGAAUCAUCAUUCAAUUGUUUGCUACAUUGCUCUAUUUUCCAAUGAUGAAGCCUAAGACCUAAUUGCAAAAUUAAGCAUGAAUUCAAGUGUAAUUCGGGGACUUGAGCAUGCAAGUAAGCACAUUAAGAUCUAAUCUGGAAACAUUAAUAUAAAUAAUCAAGAAAUUAGACUUAUAGCCGAAUUUAAGCAUAAACCCCAAAUAAUUUAGAGCUAAUAGCACUUGAAAUUGCACUUGUUCAUUCCAGUGUCUUUGAUUUCUAAUAUACAUUGUUUAUAUUGUACCAGUCGUACCUCAAAUCAGAAACACGCUAAUUCCUGAAAUCUAAGCAUGCCAUUUCUCACUAAUUGUACUAUGGUACUAUUGCUCAUUGUGAUAGGUAGAAGCUUUUGAAGGAUCAUGGCCAGCGAAGAAGGUCGCGUGGAUUAGUCGAAGGAUUUUAUUUAAUGAAGUGUGCACCAGUUUGAAUAUCUAUUCACCUUUAUACAUUCAAGAUUAGCUUCUGGUGGCAUGUACUUUGGAUUAGUUGUCAUCUACAUUUCCAAUACUGGAAACCCCGAUGGAAUACGAUCUUGCAGAUUGACCUCCCGAGCCUGAAAAAACCUAGGAAGAAGCGCUAGAAGCUGCAGCUGUUCUAGAUAUUAAACCCAUAAAGCGUGAGCUUAACAUUGAAAUUGAUGAUCUGAGCUAUGAAGCAAAAGAAAUUCUUGAAGAAAGGCAAAAAGUUUUCAAAACUCAGAUGUCAAGACUUGAUGCAACAUCAGCUGAACUGAUAAAGCAGGGAAGGUCAGCAAGAAACAUAUGGGCAACUACGCUCAAAGACAUGAAAGGUGUAGCUAAUAUGUGUGCCAAUGGUUCCAUUGUGCAUCAAGGAGCAGACGAGAACGUUCCACUACACUCUGAUGUUGUGGAUGGCGGUAUUGAUCCAAAUCACAUCAAAAUCAUCCUUAAGCAGUGUGCAGAUGCUAUAAUUGAAGCACAUGGUUGUCUCGAAGCUGACUACAAUAAUAAUGGGUAUGUAAAGAGGAGUGACUUAGAUUUUAUUUCGAUACUACAUUGAUUAAUUCAAUGGAAUGAUACGUUAAAAUAAUUGCAGAUGGCCCCAGUAAUGGGAAGGAAACAAGGAGUGAUACACUGAAGAUGCAUACUCUAUGAACACCAAUGAAGUUCUGUCAUAUAAAUAUGAAGUUAGUUUAAAUCGUCAUCGUUGUAUCUGCAAGUACACUACAUCCGGUCUCAAAUAGUCUAUGUAGUUUGGAAGUCUAUGUAUUCUAAAUAAUGUAAACUCCGCAGUGGAGUAGCUAGUUUGUUAUGUCUAUAUAUUAUACAAUGCGUGUUGUGUGCACACCUUAGUAUUACUGCAUCAGAUGCUACUGUAAAUUUGAAUAAAUUAGUUUGCAUAUCCUUGUGCCUGCGCAGAUUUUAUACGAUUUUAUUAUUUAUUAAUCAAAAUUAUUAGCACAACCAAUUUAAAUAUAAUGUGAUUAUAAUUUAGAUUAUUGACGUAAGUAUAAUUAAAUUAGAAACCUGUACAGAAAAGUGUGCACACAAAAGUUCAAAGGAUGUGUAGAGUGUGAGAGUCAAAGUUUGGUAAUACAAACUUGGAACGUUAAUUAUUAAUUCAAAAUAAUUGUCCAAAAUUUGCAUUUAAUACACAUUCAUCGACUAAGAAAUGAACACUACAGUCUCAUUUGUGAUUUAAUCAGCAUCUUCAUCUAUCUGCGAAUUAAAGCCAUGAUUCUAAAUACUAAUCCAGGUGGGUCCUCAGCUGAUGCGCCAUCCAGAUUGUUCACACUCAUUAAUCCUAAAUGACACACUGCAGCAGCGCACCGCAAGACAGUAUCGUUAGAAUUGGAAAAAAUAGAGAGAGAGCAACUUAAAUCUAUGAAACAACAUUUCUAUUCUGCACAGAAACUCCAAUGAAUCGGAUCUGGUUACACACAAUGAAACAAGGUCAACAAAAAAUUGGAGUUAUCGAACCCUAUGUUCAGCAUUUUUAGCUCUACAAUUACUGUCAAUCCUGAUGUCGCAAACCAUGUGAAAACCCCUCCAGCAUAGUACAUGAUAUUCUUCUUGAAAAUUCCAACAAUCUGAGUUACCAUCAACUUGAAAAUGGAAGAUGAAGUCUAAAAACGUAGUAGUGAUGUUCCUGUUCGAAUAUGUCAAUACACCCUUAUAAGGUACUCGAAAAAAAAGAGGAAAGUAGGAUAUGGAUUGGCAGCGAACGGCAUACUGUUCGUAUAAGUAACUUAAAGUUGAAACAUAUAUUUUCUAAGAAAAACCGAAUCAAUUCAGAAAUACAUCACAGAUAAAGCGUGGAUUUCACAAAGACAUCAACUACGAAAUAACUACUAAGAUCCACUAAAGGGAUAGAUCCCAUUCCCUUUCCAUUCAAGCUAAUACUUUCUUCUUCAUGUGGACAUGAUUCCUUCUCCCCGCGAUUUGCAAAAGUAUAUGAAGAUGCAGACUUCCUAUGCCGCCUCCGGUAGAUUGAAAUAAAAACGCAUAUUCUUUAGAUUUUAAUUAUCUAAUUCCACACUUUGCUCAUCUUCAAUUUCACCAAAAGCUGCUUAAUACGAGUAAUGUAAAAGUUAAACAAAGAAAUGAAGUUCAAGCAAGUAAAGGAAACGUAGCUCAUGGUAACUUAUCAAACAAUUCAAAUGAAAUACUCUUGAUUUUACUAAAAAGACAUAGAAGCUAGAGGACAAUUAUGCAAACCUAUAUAAGCAUCUAAACUAAAACUUCUAGUGCAGUAAAAAAAUAGAGAAUAGAAUCGAAAGCUGAAUCUUUGUAGAUCGGUAAUGGUGAUACCAUAAAGUGAAUUGGAGUAACUAAAGCGCACACAGCUCAUGAUAACCUACAAAACAAUCCAAAGUCAGUACUUUUGGUCCUACUUCAAAGGUGCAGAACCCAAAGCACAACUAUGCGAACCUAUGUAAGCAUUUAGAUCCAAACUGCCGGUACAAUAAACAAACUAAAAGAUAAAACUAGAGGCCGAAUCAUUACAUACCAUUAGUGGUGCCACCGUGAAGUGGAGUAUCCGUAGGGAGUAUAGUACCAUCACUAUUAAGUACACCAAGUGAGAAAAUUUUUGUCACUUUAGGCCUUGGUGUCGAGUGACCACUUUCUUUAAAUCCAGGGUAUUCGUCAUCAGAAUCACUCAUAGUUGGAUCUGGUAAGUAAUCACCAUCAUCCGACGAGUCUGAUGAAUCAUGCCAAUCAUGAACCUCAAGAACCUUAAUAGCAACUCAAUAUCGCAGCCCACGUUGUUCAUGCUGUAUAAUGUCCUCUGGUCGCAAAUAUAAAUCUGCACCAGCAUUCGGAUCAUCUAGCUCUGGUAUAAAAAUAUCAACCUCGUUAGGCAAUUUGUCAGGAUCAACACACUAGAUACACCUCUAAAAAUCGUCAAGUCAGCUUUUGACAAUGUGCCUAGAGUUGGCUUGAAACCACUGCAUGAUCCACCAAGAAUGCGCUCCACAACGGGUAAAGACCGAGCAUGUGAUGGAAUCCCCUUCAACUCUAAAAGUGUUCGUUAUAGCAAACAGAUUGAUGGCUCCAACAUUUGAAUUUGAAUACCAAGUCUACUACUGCCAAAGGAGGUGCAUGGAGGACACGCUCUAAUUUCUGAUGCUCAGAAAAUAUAAUCAAGAAAUUUUGGUCAUAGUAAAGAUGCAGAGUGUAGUCAUUCUCUGUGAGUGCAUACCUCUCCUGGAGAAGUGUAUGUACUUCGGCAACUGUAAAUGAUGAAUAGUCUCCAAUAGCAAUGAUAAUAAGAGCAUUUUGCAGCAAUUGCUCCUCUGCAACAAUAUGUGGCAUUCUAGGAACAACACAAACUUCCAAUGCUAGACAUCAUGAUGGAUGUCCCCUUAGAAGAGGUUAUGGAGACGGUGACUUCUCCCAAGAGUGCUGAGAAAGAAAUCCCUUGUCAUCUAAUUAUGCUCUUGUCGAUGCACCAACCGAAGAUAACGUCUCAGGGUGUGUAGUAUCAGAGGGUAAAGUCCGCUGAACAACUACUUUUGAUUCCAUCAAGCUUAACCUAUAAAUAAUAUCGUCUAGAGGCCAUGUUGGAACCUUCAUCUCCAAAAGCGCAAUGGUCCUCUUCAUUGCAUCGAUCUCCUCCCGCUGCCUUGAACACAUCUCUCUAAGGAGGUUUACCUCACCCCUAUCACCGAUUACUUCAUUAUGUGUCAUAGUUUUACACCAAUUAUUGAAGACCAACAAAUGUACAACCGAAUCAGUUGCACCCAACACAUGAACUGAGGCUACAAAUAAGAGCAUAAAAAAUAAGAACAUAAUAUCAGAGAAGGAACCAAUGAACUAAAACUAAAAUAGAUCUACCCACAUAAACAAGGGAGAACGAUCUGACACAAUGCAUUAGACAAAGCAGUAACCACAAUGGCACCAAAUGAAAUAAGAUAAAGCAUCGCGGUAAUGCAACAUUCAGGGCAAACCAACAAGAAGGCAACAUGGAAACACAAUAUCGACAGAAGAAAAUAAAGAAGAUAGGAUUUCGAUCGCAUACAUCGCUUAUCACCCACCAAGAAGGUAUGGAAGAAGAGCGGAACCGGUGACCAAGCUUCCACCGAUGGGACGAUUUGCAAACCGCGAAAGAAGCUUGGUCAAAGACGUGGCGGUAGCGUUGAAAAUCAGCGGUGGAGAAAGGAAGGAGCGAGACGAUAAUGGAGACGAAUAAACAAAGAAAGGGGAACGGUGUCUCGGAAUGCCCCUACUAUUGAUGUGAUGGGGGACUCUUUAGAAAAUUAUCUGCCGAAAUAGUGCCUCCACCAAAGGAGAGUGGCAACAGUUCUUCAAAGAAGAAGGGAGCCGAUGCCUUGCGGAAAUGGCGCAUCAAAGCCGGUAAGGCUAUGUUCAUGCUUAAGACAACUAUUGUGGAGGACCUACUGGAGCACAUCUGAGAUGCGGAGACCCCAAAGGAAGCUUGGGAGACUCUGGGGAAAUUAUUCUCCAAGAAGAAUGAAGCACACCUCCAGCUUCUAAGAAAGAGCUUGCGGGUAUCUUACAAGGCACUAUGAGCAUUAAUAACUACUUUACUAAGGUGAAGAAUAUAUGUCAGGAGAUAUCUCAGCUUGACCUGGAGGAGAAGGUCAGCGAAGCUCGGAUGAGAAGGAUCAUCAUCAACGGCCUAAGACCCGAGUACAGUGGGUUUAUGGCUGUAGUGAGUGGAUGGCCAGUACAGCCAUCCUUGGUGGAGUUGGAGAACUUAUUAGCUAAUCAGGAGGCAUUAGCUAAGCAGAUGUGCAACAUCACUUUGGAAGAGAAGGAUGAAGAGGAGGCGCUCUUCAUCAGAAAGAAGGGUUCACCAAGAGGCCGAGGAGAGGCGAAGGAGUGGACAAGAGGUGAUAGGAGUUGCCCAAAGAAGAGCAGCUAUUCAGGGGGAGCUCAAUGUAACAACCAGACUGUUAAAGGCUUAAGAAUGAUUCUUAAAGUGUUAAAGGUGAAAUUGGGAUGAAAAUAAGAUAUUGGGGCCAAAGUCAAGUUUGGGUCAAAUUUCACCAAAAAUACAAAUUAAGAUUCAAAACCAAAGAAAUUCGACAAAAAUAUGAAGUCAAGCCUUGAAGGUAUUUAGAAUUCAAAGGAAUCAAAUUGGAAGUAAAAUUCAAGUCAUAAGCACCUCAAAUUCAUAGUCAAAGAUGGAUUGACUUGGAAGUACUGUUCAUGGUCUGAAAAUACAAGUCUGAAAUUAGUGACAAUUAGCCAACUUUGAAUUUAAUUUCUAGCAGAAUUUUCAUUGAAGCUAGGAGAUGUUUUAGAACACAAGAGGACUCUGAUCUAUAGUGAAUCUAUUGGACCUGUUAUUGGUCAGAGAAAACAAAGAAUCCAUAUUUUAAAUAGGGUUCAAAGUUUGAAAGUUGUGCAGUUUUCAACUUAGCUGCUGAAUUGAAUCUAAGUCUGAAAAUAGUGUCAAGUAUGCAACUUUGAAAUUCAUUUCUGGAGAAUUUUUUAUAUACACUCUGAAAGACGUUGAAUCCUAAGUGAACUAUGAUGUCCAAUAAAUAUUUUGAGCAUGUUUUUGGACAAGGAAAGAGAAGGAUUCAAAUUUUUCUUGAAGCUCAAAUUGUGAAUGUUACCCUGUCAGUUUAACUGACGAAGCUGAAUGGCAGUCGCCAUUCAGUCCUAAGGACGGUGCAAAAUUGCAAUUUUUAGCUUGAGAUUUUGGAAGAAAUUGUAUGUAAGGGUUGGGCUUUCAUAUGUGAAAUGGAACCCCUGUCCUAUGGUUGACAAGAUCCAGUAGUUGUUGGGCAACAAAAAUUGAGUUUGAAUGGUUGAAUUGGAGAUCAAAGUUGACACCUCGGACUGUCGGGUGGUGUCUGACGAAACUGAAUGCAGAAGGACGAUUCGGUGCUAAAUGACAGAACCCUAGCCCAAUAUUGGAGUUAAAAUUCGCGGGGAUGGAGUGAUCUUUGGCAAUUGAGGCAAAUCAAUCAAAUGUAGAGCACAUGAUCCUCUACAAUUUUGAUUAAAGAAAUUCUUGGAGCUUGAAUUGGGUUUUGGUCGCAAAAGUGAGUUGAUUUACAGUGGAAUUUGGGGAAAGAAGGGGAGGAACAGAGUCGGCCGGUGCUACCAGGUUGUUCGCCAUUGAUGUCAAGAGCGGCGCCGCUGUGCCACGUGCCAGCACCGGCAAGAGGCGUGAAAGCAAGCAGCAAGCAGGAGGUGGCGCUCGGGAAGGCGGUAAAUCUUUCAUAUAAUUACCGCUCCCGCCGGCGAGCGUUAUCCGUUUAUUGCAUGCUCUGUUUUUUCACCUUACUCUCGAUCGCCGUCCUACUCCGCCGUCAUUCCCCCAUUGCUAGCCACUCCACCUCACCAAGAACCACCGCCAUGAGCUCCUGAGCUAGUCCCGUCAGCCGUUGUCUAGCUCUAGUUCCCACAGUCACCACCCCCGUCGUCUUCUUCCUCAGUGCCGGCCGCCGCUCGGGUCUGGUAAGAGCGCUGCCGUGGAGAGCUUGGUACAGAAGCUAUGGUCGUGUUCCGGGGGUUUGGGUAGGUCAUGUAUGAGCUCUAGAUGGGUUAAGUUGUGCUUGUUGGCUUGGAGUUCCACCGGCUUGGCCGGAACACUCACGCUGCCAUGCGCCAAGCUUUGGCUAUGGCCGCCGCCGUGGAGCCUUCUGCUCCCGCCGCGGGGUGCUUCGGUUCGAGGGCGUGCUAUGUUGAUAGGGCCGUAGUAGAGCUGCCGGUGCCGCUUGUUGCCUUAAGGCUGCCGCCAGCAAGCUUUGCGCUGCCGUUCGCCUAGCGCCGCCCGCACCGUCGUCUGCCUAUCGCCGUCGUCGUCCACCCAAUCCACCCCAAGAACACCACCAGUAGGUGCCCAUGGUCUAGGCAAGUUUAGUGGUGCGGUCCCCAUUGUCGGAGACCUCGCCAGCGACGAGCCGCUGCGAUUACCCACCGGCUGGUCCUCAGUCAAGACCGGGCUUGGGUCUGUUUACCCGGGGGGCCCCGUGUCAGCGUGUGGGGGUAGGCUGUGGGUGAGUAAGAAAAGUCCAAAGAGAGGGGGUUCGGGAUAAUGUUAGUUUUAAUUUUUAGAAAAUAGAUUUAAUUCCUAUUUUCAUAUUUAAAUCAUUAUACACAACAUGAUCUAUUGUGCAUAGCUGGUGAUGAGGUAUCUCCUACAGGAUGUAAAUCAGUCCGGAUCGCCGCAAUUCUCGGUUAUGAAUGCACUUGAUCAUCGCUUAAGCAUUGUAGAAUAAUCAAGUUGAAUAUAAUGUUUUUCCUGGAAUUAAUAUGUUGUAUGACUUAGUUUCAUUUGUUUGCUUAAAAAUGUUUUAAUUCACCUAAAACGGUUAGGCAAGAACUAAUAUGAAAUAAAAUGAUAAAAGUAAGGUCCCACUAAUAGUAAGCUUUUUCGUAAAAUGUGAAUCAGCCAGUACACCAUAAAGCUAUCAUACAAUAUUUUUUUAUUAACCUUCCUAUAUUGGUUUGUCGGGUCAGUCUUGUUGAAUACCCUCGUACUCAAGGGAUCCCUUGUUGUUGUUUUCAGAAGCACAGCAGGGGACAACCAAAGAAGAAGUUCCGAAGAACUAGGGUAUCUAAAAGUCUCAUAAUACCCUAGAAUAAAACCUAGUUGUAUAAUUACGUUUUCUUAGACUAGUUUUAUGUUUAAAACUCCUAGCAAUGGUCUAUUAUGGCACUGUUAAGUUUAUUUCAAUCUACAGUUUGUAAUAAUUCGUACCUUCUGUAUGUAUGUAAAAAUGUAAUAUUUAUAGAUGCUUUCCCUUCGUGGAAGCGAUCCUAAUGUAUGGCUAUGAAACACGUUGUGGAUGUUUUGAGGUGUCCUAUGGACACUCAACGGACUACCGGACUUACUGUUUUAAGUGUGUUUCGUAUAAUUGCUAUUCCGACAGCGAUUAGGCACACUUAAGCCAAUUUAACUCGGACGGUUCCGCCAUACUCAACAAGAGAGCAAUGACGAAGAUGAUGAAGAGUUGGUCAAGAACGAGAGGAGAAGAAGAGGUGAGUGCUUCAACUGUGGCAACUGUGGCAAGAAAGGGCAUCGUGCAUGGGACUACUGGAGUCUACGAAGGUACUCAGAAGGAAACGUGGCUACAACCAAAAAAAGUUAUCCUGAGUGGGUGGCUAAGCGAAGAAGAGUGGGAUGGUGUGGCAGCAGCCACAAUUGAAGAUGAUGGAACUUACUUCGUGGAAGACUUGACAGAAGGUGAAACUCCAUCAAAUAGCGUUGAAGAAAAGGAAGAAGAGUGGGAUGCAGAAGGUGACUUCUCCAUAGAGGUGAGAGAUCCGGAUACUUUAGAAGGAUUCAUAGUAUUUGGAUAUGAUAAUGAUGAAGAUUGAGAGGCUCUAAGCGAUGAGGAAGAAGAUAUUAAAAAGCGAGCACAUGACGCUAACUUUUGGACAUGGGCGUUCUUCCUCAUUGUUUCUAUGGUACAUCAUCAUGUGUCGCAGUUUCAGGAGGCAAAUAGAUGUGCUUAUACAGGUGCCACGACUGGCACGACACAUGUGUAGUGUGUUUCAGUUCGAAUGUUCGAUGAUUCUCCACAUCCCCAUUUUGGCUGCGUCAAAUUGAGGAGCAUGCUUCAGCUUCGAAAUACAUGAGACCCACAAUAUUUGUUAGCUAAGCUUUCUCGUUUUUAAUUUGCUCCCUGGACUUCACCGUCUGUAUUUCCAAUGACAAGCCUGCCAUCCUGGUGAACUCGCAUUUGGGCAUUUGGCAACUUAAUUUUCGUCAGAAAUUUUAUUUUCGGUAAUUCUCCAACACCUCCAGGUCAACGUGCCUUUGGCAAAGAGUAUCAAGUUUAGUUACUCUGAGCUUAGGAUCCAGUCUCAGAUCUGAAAUCUUUCCCUUUUUCUUUCUCUUUUGUUUUGUCCCUGGAUUUGUUGUCUUUGUGUCCGCGUGGUAGUCGUACUCGUACGUGGGCUGAGAUGGGCACAUAGGGACUACAUGGGCCAAAGUAGCGCCUCUUUUCUAGCUUAAGGGCCGGCCUGAAGCUCAGACUGCCCUUGGGCCUUUGGCGAGCAGGUGUUAAGUAGCCUAGUUUUGUAUUUUUUAUUUAAUUCUUUUCAUAAGAAUCCAUUAUUUCAUUCCAGUAAGUCUAGUGGAAAAAUGGUAUUGCUACAUACCGAAUAAGAACCACUACUUGUUUGUGGUGAUGAAAAAUCCUUGCUACAAGUCUCACACAAUUCAAAGAGUAUAAAUAAACUUGCUUCUUUCUCUUCAUUCAUAAAAACCUAAGGGUGCGUUUGGUUCGAGGGACGAAGUGGGACGGGACGGGACGAUCCCACUUCGUCCCGUGUUUGGUUUGGAGACAGGUGGGAUGGGGACAUCCCUAUGAGGGAAUAUACCCUCCAGAUGCGGGAUGCCCCCAUCCCACCAAAACGAGCGGACGGGGGCAUCCCACUUCGCCCCCGUCACGCGCCGUUUGCGCGGGUGAGCUCCGGGCGAGCGCAGCCGGCGCGGGCGGGAGCUCCGGCGCGGCCGGCGCGGGCGGGCGCGGCCGGGAGCUCCGCCGCCGCCGCCGGCGCGGGCGGGCGCGGCCGGGAGCUCCGCCGCGGCCGGCGCGGGCGGGCGCGCCCGGCGCGGGCGGGAGCUCCGGCGCGGGCGGACGCUCCGCCGCGGCCGGCGCGGGCGGGCGCGGCCGGCGCGGGCGAGCGCGGCCGGCGCGGGCGGACGCGGCCGGGGCGCGACGUCGGCGGGCAUGGAGCAGGGGAGGCGGGGUGGAGCAGGGGCGGCGGCGGCGGCGGCUCUGGGGCGGCUGGGGCCCUCGGCCGGUGGGGGCGAGCGCCCUGGGCGGCGCGGUCGGGGCCCGACGUCGGCGGGGGCGAGGUCCCGAGCUGCGGGAGAGGACCGGAGGAGGCCGGCGGGAGAAGAUAAGGCCGGUGGGAGAAGAUAAGGAGAAGAUAGGGAGGAAGAAGAAGACGUUGUUAGUAUGACGAGUGGGCCCCACAAACGGUGUCUAACGGAAGAAGAAAACGGUGCUCAUCCCGUCUGUCGCAAUCUCUCCAACCAAACAAAAAAUUAGGACGACCCCAUCCCAUUCAACCAAACAAGAAAUGGGAUCAUCCCAUCCCGAAAAACUGGGACGGGAUCGUCCCGUUCUACAUUGUCUCCCAACCAAACGCACCCUAAGAUACAAAGAUCAUAUAGUGUGCCGUGAGCAAGGUUAGUUCAUAGAUGCAAGAGAGCAUGAUAGAAAGGUUAAAGGCACGUUUGGUUUGCUUGCAAAAGGUACCCUGCCAAAUGCGGAUGCGGCCGCACUGAUUUGGCUGCCACUUGGUUUUACUGGCAGUGUGGUGGCAUGCCAAACUAUGUGUGUCCGCAUUGGUAUUGCGCGCGGUUCAUUUCCCCCUCCCAUGGGUUGGCACAUUAGGGGCAUAGGAAUCGACCGUCCACGUGUGGGCGUGCCUAUGGUUAGCAAGGUGACGCCGUGUCAAAAUCAAAUACGUCCUAAGAACAGCCAAGGAAAUUAUGAUGUAGUGAUAUAAUAAGUAUGUUAUUAAUCUAGGGUUCACGAUAAUCUGGCAGAUAAUCAUGGAUCAGUGACAAUAUUAUUACUCAAUUGUUUAGAAAUAAAAUAAUAUUAUUGAUAAUAAUCUAUGUAUGAUGGUGUUAAAGAAGUAUAAUUGUUAGUAGAUGUCUACACGAUUACUUCACUGAGAGAGAAAACCCCGGCUGAGGGAGCACAUAGGAGCAAGCAACUGAGCAAGGCAGUAUUCCCGGGCAGGGCUGGCCUUUUCCUACUUGAGCAACCUCUCUUGUUUUUACAUCUGAGCAGCUUCACUUUAUGCAGCAACACCUGCAGGCUACAACCAAAAGCAGCAAGACCUUUCUACCACCUCACACCAUCAUCCCCUUUCUUAUUUGUUUUCCUCUUCUGGACUGGGACCCUCCCUCCUCUCUCUAUCAUCACCCUCCUUCCUCUGGAAGGCAAAAAAACCUCUCUCCCCCAGCACUCUCCUCCCGGCCGCCACCAUGUCAGGCCUCUACAGCCAGGGCUUCUCCCCUGCAAGAACCCUCUCCCCCCAGAUUAGGAGCAACCCCGAUGCUGACAGGUACUGCUAAUUUCUGACCCGAUUUCUCUCCACUGAUUCUUGAUCCGAAGAUUGCAACUCCAGCUGCUUCUUUUCCCCCACUUACCCUUGCGAUUGAUUGGUGGCGCGAUUCUUGCUUCGCUUCUUCGCAGCCAGUACUUGGCCGAGCUUCUCGCCGAGCAUCAGAAGCUGGGGCCCUUCAUGCAGGUGCUGCCGAUAUGCAGCCGGCUGCUCAACCAAGGUGAGAUCUUUUUGAUCCCUCGCUUACUGUUGCUUGCGGAUUGGUGAGAAAUCUUUUUGCGGAUGAGUGUCAGACUAUCGGAGAGGGUUCGUCUGCAAUCGAGAUUGGGGAAUCGCUUGGCUCCAAUGCUCGGAUGGCUGCUGAUCUUUUCCGGCAGCUGAUGUGUUGGGGGAGAUAGUAUGUGUGGUGAUGGGAUAGAGUUGGCAAGCCGCCAUUGAUUUUUUUCGUAGCCGGCAUACAAGAACCUUAUUAGUCUUAUUGACCCGAAUACCCGAUUGGGGAUUGCCAAUGAAUUGGCCUUUGAGUGAUGCAGUGACUUUUUUUAUGGUCUUGCUAUAGCAACUUUUGUAGUUUGUUACUUGAUACUGGUUGAUAGAGCAUCUGUAGCUGAAAACAGCGGUCAGCCCAAUAAUUGGGGAAGGUUCAUUUUGGGGAUGACAUCCAUUGUUGAUUGCAUCUUCAUCGCUUGCAUUGUGCAGAGUUAUUAGGUUGGUUGUAUGUCAUACUACUUUGCAAUGCAUUGGAUUUUGAUCAUCUUGUUUAACAAAAAUAAUUUGUUUUCAUUUGGGAAAAUCAUUAGCUAGUAUUUGAGAUGUUUCUUUUAUCUUUCUGUGUGGUGCUUGUGGAUCACCUAGUGCAUCUUCUCUCUAUGCACGAAGGCUGGAGCUUUCCGUAAUUAUCCAUAAAUGUUGAAUACAUAUUUUUAUCAUGCAUGAGGAUUUAUCUCCUCUAAUGUUUUUCAAGCAUGGCCUACAGUUUUACCUAAGUAAAUGGACUGUGCAUACGGCUGGAUUGCACGACCCCGUACAACCAGCACAGGCACUGUUACCUUUUCUGCACUGAGCAGUGGGCUGUGACUUGGUCCGUUGGCCGCAAGCACAGGCCAUACAUCCUGGUGACCUGAUCGUAUGUGUAGCAAAGUCCUUUUCUUAUUAACCACAUAUCCCUUGUAGCCACUUUAACCUUUACAGUUGCCCUUUUUUCAAUUUUCAAAACGGGAAGUGAUCUUUUCCUUUAAUAUGACCUUUUAUAGGGCCAAACUGGCCUUUUUAGAAUGAUAAUUAAAAAUUGUGUAGAGAGAACUUUAGUAUACUGUAAGAUAGCUGGAUUUAGAUAUAAAGACUAGACACCUCUUGCAGAAACUGAACCUUUGGGCUCCCCUCAAAAUGAUUGAGCUGUUAAAGUCAUGCGGUGCUACUUCUGAAAAGGGUUUUUCUCCUUUCAUCUUCAGUAUUAAAAGAAUGAAUAUUUUAUCUUAUUUUAGAUUAGGAUUUUCCUCUGCCUGGUGCAUAUAUGGAUUUUUGACAAAACCCAUCACACUAUCUAUCAAAAAGGAAAGUUGAAGGCACCGACCAGACGGAAGUAUGCAAUUUAGUUGACCACAGAAGUAUAUAUGACACUCUCGAUCGUAUGUCACAUAUUUUUCCGCUUCCACUCUUUUGCUACAUACUGCAAUUGAUUUGAUUACAGCAAGCAUUAACAUUUUGUAGCAAAUUCUUGAACCCUUCCCCAUUCUGACUAGUAGGUUGGCUGAUUCUUUUUCUUUCAUCAUUUGUGUUACUUAGAAAUCAUGCGGGUAUCAAGCAUGGUUCACGACCAUGGAUUCAGCGAUUUUGACAGGCGUCGGUUUAGAAGUCCCAGUCCUAUGUCUUCGCCAAUUGUCCGCCCUAAUCUGCAUGGCAAUGGAUUUGGUCCUUGGAAUGGGAUGCCCCAAGAGGUAGGCAUAAUAUGUUGAUCACUUUAAUAAAGUUCCUCUUUUGACAAGAUUUCUUCAAUAACCAUCUUUUUUAUGUGAUAUUUUUUGGAUUUGCAACUCUAUUUCAGAAUCAGUGAUUAGUUUUUUUAAUAUAACAGAGAUUGGGCUUUCCUCCUCCUGGAACAAGUAUGGACUGGCAAGGAGCACCACCAAGUCCUGGCUCCUAUAUUGUGAAGAAGAUUAUACGCUUGGAAGUUCCCGUUGAUUCCUACCCUAAUGUAUUGCCUCCCACAACCUAUGUAGUUAGUACUGAAUGAUGUUCUAGUUCUAAUAUGUUCCGGUUUCAAAUUUCUCCAGUUCAAUUUUGUGGGGCGCAUUCUAGGUCCUAGAGGUAAUUCUCUAAAGCGGGUGGAAGCUUCAACUGGCUGCCGUGUUUUUAUUAGAGGGAAGGGUUCCAUCAAAGAUACAGAGAAGGUAUCCAAAAUGUUAUAUUUGUUAAUCGCAUCCCACUUAUGUGCUUGUUUAAUUUAUAAUAUCUUAAGUUUAGAAAGGUUUUAUAGCCUGUUGGGUCAUGGAGCUUAUUUGUCAUAUCUAAUGUAAUGUCGCGUCAUGGAACUCUGUGAACUACAUGCAACACUUAAGUUUUAUUUCCUGACUUGUAACCCUAAUGUUAUUCAACUAGUCUUGCCUCUGACCUUUGCUAUCACUGCAAUGGAUCUAAUUUUGGUAUCAUGAUCUUCAAAUUCUCGCCUGACUUGACCAGCAAAACUACAACAUAUAAGGACAGGCACAACUUUUUUUUUUUGGAUUAACCCAUAGGUGCUGUUCAAGGCAGAUCACCUAUGCAUGCUGCCUUGCUCAUAGAUGGCUUGGGACCGAGUGACAGAAUGUCCUGCUCAAGAUCCAAAUGUUCCCAUAGGAGGACUCUGUGAAAGAUCAGCACUAUGAUGACUAAGGGCGUACCUUAAGGAAUGAUUUGUGUGGGGAAUUAUUUUAUUUUCCACUAAGUAAUAUCCUAUUCUUCAUCUGCCAUCACAAUUUUGCAGCCUUUUUUUCUGUAGUGCCGUUGAAGCAUCAUUAGUUUUGCCAUUUUUUAUUUAUGGCAUUAAGUCAAACCAAGGUGUGCUAUAAUUUUUAACAUAGAACUUCAACGGACUCUCCCUUUCUUGCCACAGCCUACUGUGAAAUCGAGCAUUCUUUAGAUUUCUUUUUCCUGGGCUUUGCUGUUUGCCUUUUGUUCAUUGAAUUGGAUGGAAUAUGACAAUUAGAAUUGAGGAAGAAAAAGGGUUGUCCAAAGAAGAGUUUGAAAUCUUCCUUUGUAUUAGCAUGCUGAAUUAUUGUGUCAUGUUUUUUUUAAUUUUAAUGCUAAUAUUUACCUGUAGCUCUGUAGGAAAUUAUGCUCACAGAAUUGCCAGAAACAGUUCCUAACAUGUGGGGUCCCUUUCUACUGGACUAAUUGUUUGCUUUUGCUCUAGAAAGUCCAUAUGUUUUUGUUACAGAUCAUAACAUAUUGUCCAACUCUGUACAUCCUUUUCUCAAACUAACUCUGUACAUCUUGGGUGUUCAAUCCUAGAUGCAUCUGUAUUAUGAAUAUCCAGUAACCCUAUUAGAGCCCUCUGUUGAUGAAGACUUGGAAGAAUAACAUCCAUUUUCUGUUAUUUUCCCUCACUAUCCCAUGACUUAGACAUUCGGUACCUUGUAAAAAUGGUAGCAUCUAGUUAUGUCUUUUGGUCAAAUGUUUUUUUUUCUCGAACACGCAGGAGAGCUGCGUAUCAUUGUAUUAAUAGGAGAAGAACGAGUCAUAUAGAGACCCAAACACACUAGAAUUGGUCAAAUGUGUUGGUAUGAACUCAUGAUAUUCAGUGAUGAAUGUUGUUACAUAUAUCUGGAUAUCAUAUAUUAGUCUUUUUCAGAUUUCUGUGUUUUUCUGCUUGCAGUGGCUAUGUGGUAAUCUUUGGGAAGGCAGUCUUACCUCCUUAACUUAUUAUUGUCAUUACACCAUUAUUGUGAUAAUCAAGAAGUUGUAUUUCUCAUUCUAAUCAUUUAAUCUUUGUUAGUGCAUAUUUAGAACUCAUAUGGUCCUACUGCUUCCAUUUUCUCUCUUCUUCUUAGUUCCCCAAGAAUACACAGUUACACAUAUGUGCUUUUAUUGCUUUAGGAAGAGAAGCUUAAAGGAAAACCUGGCUAUGAACAUCUAAAUGAGCCACUGCAUAUAUUAAUCGAGGCUGAGUUACCAGCGAAUAUCAUUGAUACAAGACUCAGACAGGCACAAGAAGUCAUGGAAGAACUGCUAAAGCCAGUGGUAAGUUAUUCUAAUGUAUAAUAAAAUUCUGCAUUUAUUGGUCCUCAUCUGCCAAAGCUAGGAGUUUGUAGGGGUACUCUUAUUUGAAUUGGCAAAUGCCGUGCAAGAACACAUGAUCUAUGCAUUACUUUAUUUUGAAAUUUGGAUAUUUAUCACUUCCAGUACUUGUAAAACUUCAUUUAGUUGGUAAAUUGCUGUUAAAGGCUAGUGUCAAACUUUGCAUCACUUUGUAUCCAGUGACUAAUUGCAGCUAAAACAAACCCUACAUUGUUCUGUUUUAUGUAUCUUUGCAAUACAAUGUUUUCUUCAAAAAAAAAGUCUACAAUGAAAAGAAAUGUAUAUCCCAAAACUUGAAGGCGUUGUAGUGCAUCCAUUCAGUGGAAAUUUUCUCAAAAUACAAAACAUUCACACUUUUUUUCGGAAAAAAUUUCAACUGCAAUUAAAUCAUAAUAUUCCUGAAGUAAAGAUAAGUCACAUUUUGGGAUAUAUCUAUAUGUGUCACACCCGGUUUUAAAACAAAACCAAGUGCUACCUAUAUCUGUGCUAGAAUCAAGUUUCAUACAUAUAAUGACAUCAUCAGUGAAUAACAGUAACAAUAUCACGUAAAGGAAUAUAAAUAAUGACUUACGAGUCUAUCAGAGAUAUACAGCUUAAUCCUGGAAACGAAGGCUCCAAACUUCACAGGCAAUCGACUGGGGUUCGCGUACGCCUAGAACUCAGCAUCAUCUUCAGCAAACUUCAUAGCAACCCCUUCUUCUGAGCGGCGGUUAGCAAGGGUGAGUACACUUAUGGUUGGUACUUAGCAAGGCCACAAGAAAUAAUCAGAAUAACGAUUUAAGUCCAUCUUCAAGUUUAUUAAUCAUGUGAAGGUCCAGGCGCUCUUGAUCGUGAGCACGGCUGAUAUAUCAGUUUUACACUCUGUAGAGGUUAUACACUUUUACCACAAGCCGCGUAAGUUCAGAAGAACUUUGGACCCAACCAUGCAAUGCGAAAGUAGGCACUUAUCACACUACCGAGGUGUGACCGCAUAGGGACGCUACGAGGCCUUUAAAAAAAUUCCCUAAUAAGUGGUAACCCGCUAAGGUUUUAGUGUCUGGCGUGCGUAAACCUCCCUAAUGGGCAUAGUGUCUUAACAAAGCCCACUUCCCAAGAGGACAUGGCUAUACAACGACUCAGUCCCCCCUCUUGCCUUUUCGGUAAGAUUACCCCAAAAUAGAGUCUCUAAUUAAUUAGCCAAGACCAGAGCCAUGUAGUUCUCGUGGUUGCACUAUUUUCUUGGGUGGUCGUUCCAUGUUCCAAUUAAUACAUGGUAUUCUUGUAAAAUAAGCAUAGAUAGAAGGAUGGUUAGAGACACUUGCCUUUCUCCAAAGAAAAGUUACUCUUACUGCUCUUCAGCUCAUGCUUUCUUGAAGCUCUUAAUCUUCAAACCUUUCGAACAUCAAUCCUUCUACUCGAAGCAAUCAUUGGGCACAACCAUACAAAGCAAACAAACAAGUAUAACUAAGAACAAUACACCAAUUAAGAAAGGCUUUAAAAGAGCGUAGAAAAGGGUAGGGCUCGAUUCUAUGGUCACUCGAACGCAAGAAACGCUGGGAACGGAACUAUGGUUGACAAGGCAAAACUAUCGAGAGGUUUGAUUUAUAAAAGAAAUAAAAAGACUAUAUGCUUGAUCCAUUUUAAUUAAAUAAAAUCAUGCACAUAGGUUAUUUUAGAGAAAUACCCUAUUUGGAAUUAUCAGAAAAUAAGGUUGAACGUUGACAACGUGAUAAACUUGAUCAGAUUUUAUUUAUAAAUAUUCAAGUAGAAGUUAUGCCAAUUUAACAAUUAACUUUAGAAACACAGAGCAUAUGUAAAAGACAUAAUCAAACAACUUUUUAUUUCGUGUUCAACUAAACAUAUUAAUAUUGAAAAAGCAUUUAUAAUAUCAUUAAGCAUAUAAACUUUAUUCAUGAAAACCGAUGUAUAACACUAGAUAACUUUUAUUUAGAAAAGCUAGUUAUAAAUAGAAAUUAAUCAAUUAAACCUUAAUUUAUGAAAAACGGGAUAGAACCUAACCAACUUUUAUUUAGAAAACUAAUUGAAUAAGAAUUAGUCAAGUUCACAUUUAAUUUUGAUGUUAAAAACAAGCAACAAGUAAUACACACUGCUAACGCAUAAGGUAAGGUUAAACGAAUAAGAACAACAAAAACAGACUACUCUAGAGCGUAGAAGGAAAGCGUAAACUAUGGUUUAGGAAAGGCUAGUCUACAAAGAGAUCAACUAAGUUGCAGGGACAACAAACUAGCAAAAGCUAAACUGAACUAGUCGGUAGAGAAACGAACUAAUAACAAGAUUGGCUCUAAAGAGAUGGCUGCGAAAGGUUUGGGCACAAAGAACUAAAAGAACAAAGGUGGCUCACAAAGAGACAACUGAGAUAAGACAGCUAUGAAUUGGAUCCUACAAACAUGAUUCUUAGAGGAAUAGGAAACAAACAUUAUAAGACUACUAAGCAGAAUAGAAACUCUAAGAUAAACUAUUUGGCUCACUAAAACGCACAAACUAUGCUUGAAAAGGAAAGGCCUGGUUAGAUUUAUAAAAGAAACAGGGUCCGAGCUGGGGCUGGGAAGAUCUAAAGCUUUACAGAAGACUUGAUUUACAAAAGAGACUGAGCUAACGCUGACAAAGAACAGCUAUCAAACUAUUCGCAUUUAUGAGAGCACAAAAGACUAUAAGCUAGGUUUAUUUUAAUUAGCAAAAUAUAUGUAAAGGAUAUUUCGGAAAGAAAAUACCCUAAGUUGGAAUUAACUAAGUUGGAAUUAAUGCAAGUUAUACUUUAUUUGCAAAGAUCGAGGUAAAUCCUAAUCAAGUUUUAUUCAUAAAUGUUCAUAUAUAAAUUAUACCAAUUACACACUUAACUUUAGAAAAGUGAAAACAGCUAAUCGAUUUAAUACAUGUUGUGUUGGGCUAAACAAAACUUAUUUAGAAAACAUAUUCAUAUUGGCAUUAGUCAUUUUAUCAAUCAUUAAGAAAAACCAAGUUAUAACUUAACCAUAUUUAAUUCUAAAUAUUGGGGUAUAAAUUAUAUCAUUUAAAUAUUUAACUUUAGAAAAGGCUAAACUAUGUGAAACAUCUAAGCGUAUACUUUAUGAUUCUAGUGGAUUAAAUUGUUAUUGAAAACAUAUUCACGUUGGUAUUAAUCAAGUUAAUUUAUUUAUAAAAAAAACGGAUGUAAAAGCCUAGUCAACUUUUAUUUAGAAAAGUUGAUUCGAUACUGAGCAUUAAUCAAAUUAAUAUUAGUUUAUGAAAAAUCGAUAUAUAUAUAUAUAUAUAUUAGCUUUUAUUUAGAAAAGCAUAUGAUGCAAGCAUUAAUCAAAUUAACAUUUAAUUAUGAAAGCGAGGUAUAACGCUAAGUAGCUUUUAUUUAAAGAAGACAUGUUUAUCAGGUAUUAAUCAAAUUAAAUUUGAAUUCAUUUUCAAAACAUGCAUGAUGGAAAACAUCACCACUAACAUGUAAUUUAUGUUAUCAUGAACCUAACGCAACUUGGACGGAUAUAAACGGUGCUGAAACGAAGAAGGGAUAGGUUAAACAAGGUUUAAGGGAUCUAGAUGUGAUUAACCGUAGAUCUGGAGGGCUGACAAGGAAGAUAGACAAGACACAUGGAAUAGUGCUCGCCAUUAGGUCAAAGCAUAGGGUUAGAUCUGUUAAAGUGCUCAUAUUGGAUUGGCUUAAAGGAAACUAAACUUUCCGGGUGCUUUCUAUAAAAUUGGCAAGAUACAAGAGAUUCGACCUAAAAUUGUAUAUUAGCUCGAGGGGCUAUCUGCAAAAAGCUCAAAGAGUUGAUAGCCAUGGCGGAUGGCCUCUGGCUGAUUCAAAUCGACGGUGGUCCGACGGGGUAGGGUAGGGAUGAAGAGGCGCAGGAGGUACGGGAGGUCACGGUUGACUCACAGGGAUGCUCACCGGUGACGGGGAGGUGGUUCAGCGGCCGAGAAAUUCUGACGGCGGAUGGCGAAGAAGCUCGGCGGCGGCUCGGGUCUUCAUGUGUGCGCGGUGCUUCGAUAGGGCAUUGGCAAUGAGGACUAGUGGCGCAGCUGCGCCUCGACAUCGUCGAGCCCCUAGGGGUGCUGGCUUGCUCCGGCGGGCGUCCCUGGCGGUGAAUCGGGCGAACAAGGCUGACGGCGCUCUACUUCCAGGCGGCUCGCUCGACGGCGGGAGCGUGGCACAAAGGUGAGGGUGCAAGGCAAGGCAGCAGGGGCGUGCAGGGUCAGGCGGUGUGUUUUAUAGGAGCACGGAGCAGGCCCCACGGCUUGGUGCGCACGCCAAGGCCGGCGGCGGUAUGCUGCCCAGCGGUCGUAGGAGCUGAGGCUGUUGGCCCAGAUGGGCCUCGGCUAGGCCGAGCUGGCUGGGCUGGGCUCGCAGGCUCGGCCCAAAGGGCAGGGGGUCUACCUGCAGGGAGAGAGGAGGAUUGGUAUGGGUUUGGGUAGGAUAGCGGGUUGGGUUUGGUUUGGUUGGAUCUAGCCUGACAAGGAUUUAGGGUUUUGUUUUAUUUUCCAAAUAUAAUUUUCAGUGCGAAAACUAAUCCAGAAUAUUCUAGAUAAUGUUUUUAGAGCACAAAAAAAUCAGGAAAAUCCUAAAAAAUCCAGGAAAAAUCUCGGAGAUAGUUUGGGGCAUGAGGAGUUCAAAUGAACUAUUUUGAGCUUGUGAAAAAGAUUCUAGAGCCUUAUAAUAAAUAGAUUUAGCUCUAGGAAAAAUGAGAACAACUCCUAGAAAGAGCUGGAAAAUCAGAAGGGUCUGGACAUCGUCUAAAUGCAUAUUAAAACCUUUUGCACUCAAGAAACACCAAGAUGCAUCGGCAUGAAUACAACACACACAGAACAACACUAUUUAAUUUAGAAAAACAACCCAUUGUUCUUCCUAUACUACAUUUCCUGUCAAGGAAAUAAAUGUUGGAAAAAUUUUAAAAUUAUGAGAAAAUCAUUGUUUAAUUAUUCUUUUUAAUCACAUCCUGAAAUCCAAAAAUUUCAGGGUGUGACAAUAUGGUUGUGUAUAUUUGGAUUGGACAUACGUUGCUUAAAUGCAUGUAUCUGCCUAAGGAUAUUAUGGUGUCAAAGGUACAGAGAACAUGUCAAAUACCACUUAAUUAUGUUUGGCUUGUGGGGUAUUAAUAGGUUCAGUAGAGAACACAUGGCUAUUCGCUUGAGAGAGCCCAAGAAGAAAUGGCAUGCUAAAAUCUGAUGUCGUUGAUUUACUUGGUUCUUAUAUUAUUUUAUAAGCUAGUUUUUUUUGCUGUGAGCCACCUGCUGUUUGUUCUUUAGGAGCAAUUAUUGCCUUUUCGCUCAAUGUUUCUGUAAAUAGGUUCCACUUCUCAUGCAUUGUAAUGUGCAUAUAUUGUAUUUUCCUUAUACUUUACUCCUAUAACUUAUUUAGAAAAUCCGUAUAGUUAUGAGUGUCUUCCAAUUUCCAUAUACUCCUUAUAUUCAGAACUAAAUAGUUAUUUUCCUUGUAUGUAGGACGAGUCACAAGAUUUCUACAAAAGGCAACAGCUGAGGGAACUGGCCAUGCUAAACUCAACUCUGAGAGAAGAUAGUCCUCAUCCUGGAAGCGUCUCUCCUUUCAGUAACGGUGGCAUGAAACGCGCAAAACCGAGUCAGUAGAGAAGCUGCUUCUCCAUCCUUCAGUCCUUCUUGUUGCAGGCGUGCAUCAUCAACAAGGGGCACUUGAGCCUGCGCUGCGUGGGUGCUUGUGUAAGAAAAGGUAUGCGUUUGCUGGAUGGUUAGUCUGGUAUCAAGCGCAUUUUCUCCUUCGGAUAAGGAGAAAUCAUGGUUGUUGAACCGUCUUGAUCUUUUUGUGGAUCGAGGCAUGUUGUUGUAACUUGUAAGGUCAUGGACAUUCAUUUUAUUCGUUAUUGACUGUUUAACCCUAAGUAGCUUGUGAUGCUGAGGAUAGGUGGUUUCAGGGGAGACUAGGUAAACCUGACUGUUUAAUUAGCUUGUAUUAGUCCCCUGUUACAUUAUGGAGUUGCAAAAAAAAACGAAGAUCAUGGUGCACUCCACUUUAUGAUAGUUUGAUGAUGGAAGCUUUGAAUGAACCAUGUGAACUCAAAAUGCAUUGUACUCGCAUAGUAUGCGAAUUUGGUUACAGUAUAAAUGGGAUCCAUGGGCAUUCAAGUAAUGUGGAUUUUGAAACAAACAAACGACUAGGUGUCAUUCUACAAAUUAAAUUUGGGUUGUUAAGUUGAUAUGCAUCUUUUGACCAGGAUAAGUUGGUGUGUAUCUUUACUUGCCCAUGCAGUGCUCCCUUCAGUCCCACAAAAAAUGGCAGGGGCUUUCUUUAAAUUUUUCUUCCUUUGUAUUUGAUCUUUCUUCUUUAGUGAUAUGAUGCGCUACUCUCUUGUAUAUUUGAUAAAAAGUAAAUGAUGUUUUGGUCAUUGAGAUGGUUUUCCAAAUACAACUUUGGCUAAAAUGUUUGUUGUUGGCAUGUAUAUGUUUAUAAAUUAAAGCAUAGCAAACUAUAUUAUGUCAAGGAAAUCUACUUACUCUGCAAUCUACUUAUUAUGUCAGAUGAUUAUCGCGGAGUAUCAAAAGAGAAGGGAGGGAGGGAGUAAUUACUGUAGUAGAAAAGUUCAAUCGCCGUGAUAGUCAUCUGACACAUGGGUACAAUUACAAAUGAAGUGACGACUGACGAGGUGUUAACCGAAGGACAGGAGGUAGUCCCAACCCGGUGCCGUCCUCGGAAUGCGUGAUGACAGCAUCCGCAGCACCUACAGGAAAAAAGGACCUACGGGCCUACCAUCACGCCUUCUCCGUUGUCGGCGGCGGCGGCGGCAGCAGCGGCGGCCGUCGGCGUGUCGGGGACUACUAGCUUCGCCGUGGUAGGGAAUAGGGACCCUUUGGUUUGGCGGCAGUUGGUGCCAGGACAAAACAGAGAAAGCUGUGCAACCUGCCGAAGGCGCCGUUCGUGCCCGUGGUUUCCGACCGACUCGUCCUUUUCUUUUCUUUUUUGUUUUGGAUACGCCGACUCGUCCAAGUUGGCCUCUUGAUAUUUCCUGUUUCGUGCUAGGCAUGGAUAAGGCAACGUCACGAGUCCCCGACCGUGCCCACGGGACGACGGGUGAGGUGAUGCAGCCGGUAGCGGAGAAGAGCUAUCCCACCACUCCAUGCAUGCAAAUAAUAUAUUUAUGGCUCAACCGCCACCACCGUACAGUCACCAGGUUCGAACCCGCAUGAGCCCCCCCUACCCGUGGAGAGAAGAUACCAGCAGGAGGAUGAAGAGAAAGAGGAAAGAGGAAAGGAUAGGAAGAAGACAAGGAAGAAGAAAAGAGAGAAGCCUUUGUAGUUUGUAGAAUUACUAUGUUCAUAUGGUAUGAUCAUAUAAAUUCGUGAGAUAGAAAAAAAGUUACAUGGGUGCUCCAAAACAACGUUCCAAUCAGUCAUGAUGCUAUCCCUUAGAAAGUUUGAAAAGAGAGGAACUAAAGAGUGCUCAGAGCAAGGCUUCGGCUCCUUCUAGCUCUUGCGAACCGGUAAAACAUAGAUCAGUAUCUCUCAUUUCGGGCAAACCGGUAAAAAAGAUUAUCUUUCAUUUUGGGGCAACGACUUUUGUCCAAAUUUUCGGGUCCGCCUACCACCUGGUAACUGUUCCGUUCUCACUUUCUUCGCUGCGAGCGUUGGCACGCAACGACAUUCUAGAUGCGGAGGUAGAUUCUUUGGAUACCGGUGUCAGGGAGCGUGAGCUGACAGAAAGUGUAAGCCUGCACGUGCGCAGGUUAACCGCUCGACCACACACGCCAGGAUCACAUGUACAGUGCCAAGUCCAAAACAACCCUGCCACCAAACCCUGCGAGAGGAUUUCUCCAACAAUAAAAACCACAACAAGGUUGGUGGCACUGGCAACAAAUCUUCGCAAUCUCCACGGCAAACAACCUUGUCCGGAUCGAAAGAACGAAAAAAAAUUGUCAACAAAUAUUAUUUAUCACACAUCGAAGGGUUCAUCAGGUUUUACAGAUCAGUUCAUCACGCUGCUGCGCUUUCUAACAUCAUCAGCAGCAGCAGACAGCAGAGCAGCGUAUGUACAGCAUCAUCAUCAGUUCAUGAAUCAGAGAAGUUACAGAGAGAUUCUUCACAUUAGUAUCAUCGAGAAUCAUCAAGGAUUUCAGAUUGGUACCCAAUGGAACGGUGGGGGGGGGGGGGG